AGCAGCCGCGGUAAUUCCAGCUCCAAUAGCGUAUAUUAAAGUUGUUGCAGUUAAAAAGCUCGUAGUUGAAUUUCGGGACCAAUUUGUUGGUCGUGCCUCGGUACGUACUGGUAUUAUUGGUUUUUCCCUUCUGAAGAACCUCGAUGCCAUUAAUUUGGUGUCGUGGGGAAUCAGGACUGUUACUUUGAAAAAAUUAGAGUGUUUAAAGCAAGCAUACGCUUGAAUACAUUAGCAUGGAAUAAUGAAAUAGGACGUUUGAUUCUAUUUUGUUGGUUUCUAGGAUCGACGUAAUGAUUAAUAGGGAUAGUUGGGGGCAUUAGUAUUCAAUUGUCAGAGGUGAAAUUCUUGGAUUUAUUGAAGACUAACUACUGCGAAAGCAUUUGCCAAGGAUGUUUUCAUUAAUCAAGAACGAAAGUUAGGGGAUCGAAGACGAUCAGAUACCGUCGUAGUCUUAACCAUAAACUAUGCCGACUAGGGAUCGGAUGAUGUUAAUUUUUAAUGACUCAUUCGGCGCCUUACG
RNAcentral lists this ribosomal RNA (520 nucleotides) under uncultured Glomus. Its description in RNAcentral is "SSU rRNA". It matches the Rfam family "Eukaryotic small subunit ribosomal RNA", at positions 569 to 1092 of the family's 1831-position model. The record is from RNAcentral. Lineage: Eukaryota; Fungi; Glomeromycota; Glomeromycetes; Glomerales; Glomeraceae.